This 279-nucleotide ribosomal RNA is filed under the name uncultured bacterium. Its description in RNAcentral is "partial 16S ribosomal RNA". It matches the Rfam family "Bacterial small subunit ribosomal RNA", at positions 506 to 784 of the family's 1533-position model. The record is from RNAcentral.
GGCUAGCCGCCCCGGUAAUAUUGAAGGUCUAAGGGUUAAUCGGAAUCACUGGGCGUAAAGCGCUCGUAGGUGGCUUUGUAAGUCAGAUGUGAAAGCCCACGGCUCAACCGUGGAAUUGCAUUUGAUACUGCAUCGCUAGAGUAUAGGAGAGGGAAGUGGAAUUGCUGGUGUAGGAGCGAAAUCCGUAGAGAUCAGAAGGAACACCGGUGGCGAAGGCGACUUCCUGGACUAUUACUGACACUGAGGAGCGAAAGCGUGGGGAGCAAACAGGAUUAGAUA